ACAAAACGGCUGGAACCACAUGUCUUUGAGGUAGGAACGCAUCGCCAGGGCUUAGAUCCAUCUACCGUAGCUUAGAGACGACGACAGCUUCUCCUCCAGUUCUGACGAUCAAGGGGUGCUCGCGACGUUGAUUGAGGCACACACGUGAGCCCGUGUGCGGGCUCUAUGGAUCCAAGCCAGAUCCCCGACGGGAUUCAUCCAGACGCUACAUUUAAGUUAUUUGUUUGAAUAGAUGAGUUCGUUGCUAAGGCAGAUGAUGGGCACUGCUUUACUAUGCUAAAGAUGGAUGAUGAAUGGAUGGUAGACUAUUACAAGUAUAUAUGAGGAAUGUUGAUUAGUGACUUGAUUGAAAGGGUCAGUUUGGGGGCCAAGAGCCAGUGGUCACUACCAUUGAGAAGGGGAAAGGUGAGGAAAUGGGGAUUCAGAACAAUAUGGAUAUGAUGAUUGCGUUGGGUGACAGGUUUGAGCAAAGAUUUCUUCCUUUGUUUGUUACUGUGCAAGACAAACCUAAGAGGCAAGUGAGUUGGUCAAGUGUUACUCAGGCCACUGAGGUGGUUAGGGAUCUAUGCUAGAGGUAUUUUCUGAAGCAGCAGCAACAAUAUUUGCACGACCACCAGCUGUAGCAGCAGCAUCAAGCAGCCACCAAGGUAGUGCAUGUAAUGUUGCAGUUGAUGAUGGAGUACCUCUAUCACAAAUUGAUUGGGACAGUUUGCAGCUUGAUACAAUACCAGAAGCUGAAAUAGGUAGUUUAGUGCCUGUGAUGGAGGAAGAUGAGUUAUAUAUGUUGCUUGGAGCGAGAGCUGAGCAUGAAAGAGCAGAGAAAGCCAAGGUUGCAGUUCAAACUGCUCCUCCAGAACCUGCUCUUCCUGUUGACCUUGAAGGAGCUGCAAUACCAGCUGAUGAUGUCAUUCAUGGUGAGCCAUUAGUGUAUUAUGACAGAGAAGAUCCACCAAUGAAGGAAGGUAGCAUAUAUCCUUGCAUGGAUGAAUUUAGGAUGACGGUUAGGCAACACACUAUUAAGGGGGAAUUUGAGCUUGGGACUGAGAAAUCUGACACUAGUAGGUUUAGGGGUUAUUGCACAGCUGAGGGUUGUCCAUGGGUUAUUGUGGCAAGGUUGAUGCAUGAUGGGAAGCCAGUGAGGGUUACACUGAAUAAUAAGGGUUAUACAUGUGCAUCAACUGGCAGGAUACAUGCCAAGGUGGCAUCUAAGCAUUAGGUUGCAGAGAAGGUUGGCCCUAUACUAAAGAAGCACCCAAACCUUGGAGCUAAGGAACUAAAGGAAGAUCGGAGGAGAAGUACACAUUUAUUCUAUCAUAUGAAACUAUAUGGUUUGGUAGACAGAUGGCUGCAGAGAGGCUUUUUGGAUCAUGGGAAGAGAGUUUUGAAAUGUUGUAUAGGUUCAAGGUAGAGGUUGAGCUCAGAAGUCUUGGAAUAGCUGUAAAGCAAGUUGAUGACGAGGUUUACUUGGAUAAAUUCUUUUGUUGCUUCAAACCAUGCAUUGAUGGUUUCCUUAAUGGUUGUAGACUUUAUUUGAAUAUUGAUUCCACAACCCUUAAUGGCAGAUGGAAUGGACAUCUUGCUUCAGCUACAGCUCUAGAUGGACACAACUGGAUGUUUCUAGUUGCAUUUGGCUUUUUUUGACUAAAAAACAACAGGAGAAUUGGACUUGGUUUAUGAAGCAGCUGCAGCAGGCCAUAUUCAAUCCACCUGAUCUAGAAAUAAGCUCUAAUGCACGCAAGGGUUUAGAGAAUGUUGUGAAGAAAGUGUACCCUUGGGCAGAGCAUAGAGAGUGUUUUAGACACUUGAUGCAAAACUUCAUUAAGAGGUUCCAAUGACCAGUUUUUGGGAACAUGUAUCCUGCAGCUAGGGCUUGGAGAGCUGACAUGUUUCAUCAUUACAUGAGUGUCAUACUAGAAGCUGAGCCAUCUGUAGGACCAUGGUUAGCUAAGCACCACAACCUCAUUUGGAUAAGGUGCAGAUUCUCAGAAGCAAUCAAAUGUGAUUAUAUCAACAACAACCUAGCAGAGUGUUGGAAUAAGUGGGUGAAGGACAUCAAGAACCUCCCAAUAUGUGAGCUUGCUGACACAUUGAGGGCUAUGAUAAUGCAACAGUUUGAGAAAAGGAGAAGGAUAGCUGAGAGAUUACAAGGUACCAUGCUUUCUGUGUCGAUAUCACAAUUGAAUGCAAUGACUAGGGGAUUAGGGCACGUGAGGGUCACAAAGGGUGCUAAAGACACUGCAAAGGUGGCAGAGACCAUUGUGGAGCAAAGAAUGGUUAGACAUGUAGUGCACCUUGAGAAGCAUGAGUGCACAUGCAGGGAGUGGCAAAUUUCUAGGAAGCCAUGCCCACAUGCAUUAGCAUUGAUAACCGCAUCCAGAAACCUUAGGAUGGAGGACUAUAUGGAUCCAUGCUACUCACUAACCAGGUUCAGGUAUGCAUAUGUUGGAGUUAUUCAACCCCUGACAGACAAGUCACAAUGGCCUACAAUUGAUCUUGAUUUCAAGGUCUUUCCACUUCUCACAAAGAGAUCAGUUGGGAGACAGAAAAAAAAAGGUUUGUAGGAUGCUUGGAGAAAGGGAAGUCGAGGAGCAAUGGCAAGUGGCAGGUGCAGUGCCCAAGGUGUGGAGGCAUGGGGGCAUAGGGAGUCAUCACCAAAGUGUCCUUAUAAUGGAAGAGUAAUGCCAAGGAGCAGCAGAUAGGUCGAAAGAAAGGCGCAAAGGGUGUAGGUACUAGAACACCCAAAAGGUAGAAAUUGGCUCAGACGCAAGAAGGAACAAUCCAUCAGAGUCAUUGCCCUGUCAUAAGAAGGCAAUUGACAUUGACAAUGAGUGGAGAAGGAACAAGUUAGCAUAGUCCUGGCCCUAUCGCAAGAAGGCAGUUAGUAAUGAGUGGAGAAGGAAUAAAUCAGCAGAUGGCAGCCCCUUCUACAGUAGCCAUAACACCAGCAAGGAAGAAGAUGACUCCAAAGAAGGGGAAAAAAAUGAAUGCAUGAUUUUGGAUGUAAUCUUUUUAAUCCUAAAUUCCCAUGAAACUGUGACCUGGAUGUAAUCUUUUGUAAUCCUCAAUUCCCAGGAAACUGUGACCUGGAGGGCACCAUGUCAUUUGUGUUGUAAUGCUUAAUUCUCAGGAAAUUGUGAACCUGGAUGGAAGCUUAUCUAAAAACCUGGAUGUUAAGUCAAAAUGGAUGGAUCUUUAUGGUUUGUUAUC
Molecule: long non-coding RNA, 3207 nt
Organism: Phragmites australis (common reed)
Lineage: Eukaryota; Viridiplantae; Streptophyta; Magnoliopsida; Poales; Poaceae
Exons: 6
Source: RefSeq, a predicted model, not a curated record